CUUACACUUGCAGUAGAUAUGGACGUCCCAAUCAUCUAUCGCAUCGAUCUGGACGUCCCAUCACCUAUCGCAUCAAAUCUUCGAUUAUUUAGUCAUCUCCUUCUCUACCGCGCUGUGUUCAUCCAAUCAGAGUAGCAGCACGCGACGCCAUUCUCAUCUCCCCGACCACUACGUACGAUCUCUCUCUCUCUCUCUCUCUCUUUCUCUGCGCCAUUGGGAUUGACAUGGUUCUUCUCACCUGAUUUUGUACUUGGAGUACCUGGGGUAUUCCUCCGUCGUGUUUUCCUUUUUCUUUUUUGAUUUUGAAUGGUUCAAUCAUUGAUUGUCGCUUCUCAAAAACACUUUCACCGCGGUGUUUUCUUUUUCUUUUUUUUUGGGGGGGAGGUAGGUGGUGGGGGGAAAAAUGGGGACCCGGUUGAUUUCGCUUCGCUUUCACUAAACAACUCAACCUAUCAGUAGGAUGCAAGUGGUUUGCGAGAUUGCCGUUUGGGAGUACCUGCCGGCCAUGAGAGUUUUCGACAUUUUCCUACGAAAGUUGUGGAUUCUUUGUUCGUUUGUCUAUCAUAUUCAUCAUCUCAUGAUAUCUUAGACCAGGAACGAGUCCGGCUGUUCAGUCUCUGCCAUAUGUUGCCCAAUAAAUAAAUUUCUAUCUGUAGUCCUUCUGUUGAUUUAAAGAGUCUAGCCUUGCUGAGUCAGUAGAUGAUCUU
RNAcentral lists this long non-coding RNA (707 nucleotides) under Eucalyptus grandis. Its description in RNAcentral is "long non-coding RNA (EGRA_LNC007038)". Lineage: Eukaryota; Viridiplantae; Streptophyta; Magnoliopsida; Myrtales; Myrtaceae. The record is from RNAcentral.